This 253-nucleotide ribosomal RNA is filed under the name uncultured bacterium. RNAcentral's name for it is "partial 16S ribosomal RNA". It matches the Rfam family "Bacterial small subunit ribosomal RNA", at positions 524 to 776 of the family's 1533-position model. The record is from RNAcentral.
UACGGAGGAUGCAAGCGUUAUCCGGAAUCAUUGGGCGUAAAGCGUCCGCAGGUGGCAUUUCAAGUCUGCUGUCAAAGGUCGGGGCUUAACUCCGAACAGGCAGUGGAAACUGAGAAGCUAGAGUAUGGUAGGGGCAGAGGGAUUUCCUGGUGUAGCGGUGAAAUGCGUAGAGAUCAGGAAGAACACCGGUGGCGAAAGCGCUCUGCUAGGCCAUAACUGACGCUCAGGGACGAAAGCUAGGGGAGCGAAUGGG